This 393-nucleotide ribosomal RNA is filed under the name Eidolon helvum (straw-colored fruit bat). RNAcentral describes it as "partial small subunit ribosomal RNA". It matches the Rfam family "Bacterial small subunit ribosomal RNA", at positions 794 to 1384 of the family's 1533-position model. The record is from RNAcentral. Lineage: Eukaryota; Metazoa; Chordata; Mammalia; Chiroptera; Pteropodidae.
GCCUAGCCUUAAACCUAAAUAGUCAACAUAACAAUACUAUUCGCCAGAGUACUACUGGCAACAGCUUAAAACUCAAAGGACUUGGCGGUGCUUCAUAUCCCUCUAGAGGAGCCUGUUCUAUAAUCGAUAAACCCCGAUACACCUCACCAGCUCUUGCUAAUACAGCCUAUAUACCGCCAUCUUCAGCGAACCCUUAAAAGGAGCCAAAGUAAGCAAAAACACACAAACGUAAAAACGUUAGGUCAAGGUGUAGCCCAUGAGCCGGGAAGAAAUGGGCUACAUUUUCUACCCUAGAACACUAAACGGAAGUUUUCGUGAAACCGAAAAUAUGAAGGAGGAUUUAGUAGUAAAUUGAGAAUAGAGAGCUCAAUUGAACUAGGCCAUGAAGCACGC